Molecule: small RNA, 399 nt
Filed under: Pongo abelii (Sumatran orangutan)
Lineage: Eukaryota; Metazoa; Chordata; Mammalia; Primates; Hominidae
Description: processed transcript
Source: RNAcentral
GAUGUCCGUCCAUUGAUACAAACCGAAGAUGGAGAAAAUUAUGCUACAGUGGUUGGGUACAGUGCUUUCUUACAUUGCGAGUUCUUUGCUUCACCUGAGGCAGUGGUGUCCUGGCAGAAGGUGGAAGAAGUGAAACCCCUGGAGGGCAGGCAGUAUCAUAUCUAUGAAAAUGGCACAUUGCAGAUCAACAGAACCACCGAAGAAGAUGCUGGGUCAUACUCAUGUUGGGUAGAAAAUGCUAUAGGAAAAACUGCAGUCACAGCCAAUUUGGAUAUUAGAAGUAUUUUUAUUUCACUGUUACUUUGCAUGAAUUGUCACAUGGGUUCAGUCUGACUUCAUUUGCCCAAAUGGAAUAAUACAAUUUAAGUUGGAGUACCAGAUAAAGUUCUUUGAACCGUU